AUGGAGGCGCCCAGUGGGCAUCCUUGCCAGAUGCCCGAACCACCUCAGCUGACUCCUUUCUAAGUAAAGGAGCAGCGGCUCUAAUCCGAGUUCCUCACGGAUGACUGAGCUUCUCACCCUAUCCCGAGACGCCAGCCACCCUUCUGAGAAAACUCAUCUCGGCCGCUUGUACCCGCGAUCUCGUCCUUUCGGCCAUCACCCAACCCUCAUGACCAUAGAUCAGCCGACUAAAAAGAGACAGAGAAACCCAAUGUCGGAGGAACAGAAGAAGAGAAAAGGGAGACUGACCGACAGAGAGGCCAGACACGAGUAAACGUUGGGCAAGCUUUUCAGGAAUAGCGUGAACUGAAAGAAAAAGAAGACUGCAAAUCAGACGCCGACUCGGCCGUGUUGCUUUUGAAAUUGAAAGUACCCUUGGGUGAACUUUGUCUUCGUGGUAUUCUUGAUGUUGAUAGUCUCUGUACAAAUGUGUUUGCUCAACCAUUUUGUUGUGAGCCCUGUAAAAAUUGUUUUCUCGAC
Gadus macrocephalus (Pacific cod) is the source of this 519-nucleotide long non-coding RNA. RefSeq lists it as uncharacterized. The transcript is spliced from 2 exons. The record is from RefSeq and is a predicted model, not a curated record. NCBI's taxonomy places the organism in Eukaryota, Metazoa, Chordata, Actinopteri, Gadiformes, Gadidae.